Molecule: ribosomal RNA, 1158 nt
Filed under: Heyndrickxia coagulans
Lineage: Bacteria; Bacillati; Bacillota; Bacilli; Caryophanales; Bacillaceae
Description: bacterial SSU rRNA
Rfam family: Bacterial small subunit ribosomal RNA
Source: RNAcentral
GGGGGGUCUAUCAUGCAGUCGUGCGGACCUUUUAAGCUUGCUUUUAAAAGGUUAGCGGCGGACGGGUGAGUAACACGUGGGCAACCUGCCUGUAAGAUCGGGAUAACGCCGGGAAACCGGGGCUAAUACCGGAUAGUUUUUUCCUCCGCAUGGAGGAAAAAGGAAAGACGGCUUUUGCUGUCACUUACAGAUGGGCCCGCGGCGCAUUAGCUAGUUGGUGGGGUAACGGCUCACCAAGGCAACGAUGCGUAGCCGACCUGAGAGGGUGAUCGGCCACAUUGGGACUGAGACACGGCCCAAACUCCUACGGGAGGCAGCAGUAGGGAAUCUUCCGCAAUGGACGAAAGUCUGACGGAGCAACGCCGCGUGAGUGAAGAAGGCCUUCGGGUCGUAAAACUCUGUUGCCGGGGAAGAACAAGUGCCGUUCGAACAGGGCGGCGCCUUGACGGUACCCGGCCAGAAAGCCACGGCUAACUACGUGCCAGCAGCCGCGGUAAUACGUAGGUGGCAAGCGUUGUCCGGAAUUAUUGGGCGUAAAGCGCGCGCAGGCGGCUUCUUAAGUCUGAUGUGAAAUCUUGCGGCUCAACCGCAAGCGGUCAUUGGAAACUGGGAGGCUUGAGUGCAGAAGAGGAGAGUGGAAUUCCACGUGUAGCGGUGAAAUGCGUAGAGAUGUGGAGGAACACCAGUGGCGAAGGCGGCUCUCUGGUCUGUAACUGACGCUGAGGCGCGAAAAGCGUGGGGGAGCAAACAGGAUUAGAUACCCUGGUAGUCCCACGCCGUAAACGAUGAGUGCUAAGUGUUAGAGGGUUUCCGCCCUUUAGUGCUGCAGCUAACGCAUUAAGCACUCCGCCUGGGGAGUACGGCCGCAAGGCUGAAACUCAAAGGAAUUGACGGGGGCCCGCACAAGCGGUGGAGCAUGUGGUUUAAUUCGAAGCAACGCGAAGAACCUUACCAGGUCUUGACAUCCUCUGACCUCCCUGGAGACAGGGGCCUUCCCCUUCGGGGGACAGAGUGACAGGGUGGUGCAUGAUGUCGUCAGCUCGUGUCGUGAGAUGUUGGGUAGUCCCGCACGAGGCGCACCUGACUAGUGCCAGCAUCAGUGGCACUCUAAGGUGACUGCCGUGACCGACGAAGGACGGUGGGGAUGACGUCAAAUCA